UGCGGGCGCAAAUUCAAGGUGUGCGAUCUGGCAGGAGAAACGAAACCCGAGGCAGAACGGGGCGAUGUGAAAAAAAAAAAGACAACAGAAGAGCGUGCACAAGAACAAGCCAUCGCACCUACUGAAAAUCUUCAAGGUGGUUAAGUCAUGAAUCACACCGCAAGGCCAGACUCAGGGCUGGAAUGGAAAAGCUUUGUGAAGAAUCCCAGACACCGGUGGGAAAUAACUCCAGGGGAAAGCAGAUUACGCUUUUAAACAUCCCACAUGCACUUAAGGGGCCCAAGCACCAAAUUAAUUUUGGACCGUGAACAGUCUAUUGGUGGAAAGUUCAGUAAAGGGAUCUCCGGCUGCAGAAAGCUUCAGAAGUACCAGUAUAAUAAUAAAAUUAAAUCCUAC
This is a long non-coding RNA of Tachysurus vachellii, 396 nucleotides long. RefSeq lists it as uncharacterized. The transcript is spliced from 4 exons. The record is from RefSeq and is a predicted model, not a curated record. NCBI's taxonomy places the organism in Eukaryota, Metazoa, Chordata, Actinopteri, Siluriformes, Bagridae.